Molecule: ribosomal RNA, 514 nt
Filed under: Epicoccum nigrum
Lineage: Eukaryota; Fungi; Ascomycota; Dothideomycetes; Pleosporales; Didymellaceae
Description: eukaryotic LSU rRNA
Rfam family: 5.8S ribosomal RNA (bases 133-286)
Source: RNAcentral
UAGACUUCGGUCUGCUACCUCUUACCCAUGUCUUUUGAGUACCUUCGUUUCCUCGGCGGGUCCGCCCGCCGAUUGGACAACAUUCAAACCCUUUGCAGUUGCAAUCAGCGUCUGAAAAAACAUAAUAGUUACAACUUUCAACAACGGAUCUCUUGGUUCUGGCAUCGAUGAAGAACGCAGCGAAAUGCGAUAAGUAGUGUGAAUUGCAGAAUUCAGUGAAUCAUCGAAUCUUUGAACGCACAUUGCGCCCCUUGGUAUUCCAUGGGGCAUGCCUGUUCGAGCGUCAUUUGUACCUUCAAGCUCUGCUUGGUGUUGGGUGUUUGUCUCGCCUCUGCGUGUAGACUCGCCUUAAAACAAUUGGCAGCCGGCGUAUUGAUUUCGGAGCGCAGUACAUCUCGCGCUUUGCACUCAUAACGACGACGUCCAAAAGUACAUUUUUACACUCUUGACCUCGGAUCAGGUAGGGAUACCCGCUGAACUUAAGCAUAUCAAUAAGCGGGGGAAAAAGAAACUG